Molecule: RNase P RNA, 346 nt
Filed under: Candidatus Muproteobacteria bacterium RBG_16_64_10
Lineage: Bacteria; Pseudomonadati; Pseudomonadota; Candidatus Muproteobacteria
Also listed under: 1 other name
Description: RNase P RNA component class A
Rfam family: Bacterial RNase P class A
About the family: Ribonuclease P (RNase P) is a ubiquitous endoribonuclease, found in archaea, bacteria and eukarya as well as chloroplasts and mitochondria. Its best characterised activity is the generation of mature 5'-ends of tRNAs by cleaving the 5'-leader elements of precursor-tRNAs. Cellular RNase Ps are ribonucleoproteins.
Source: RNAcentral
AGAGUUGGCCAGACAGUCGCUGCCUGUUCGCAGGCAGAGGAAAGUCCGGGCUCCAAUGGGCAGGGUGCCAGGUAACGCCUGGACGGCGCGAGCCGAUGGAAAGUGCCACAGAAAAUACACCGCCUAAGCCGAAAGGCCGGUAAGGGUGAAAUGGUGCGGUAAGAGCGCACCGCGCGGGUGGCAACAUCCGUGGCAGGGCAAACCCCACCUGGAGCAAGGCCAAAUAGGGGAACGCUUGGUGUGUGCCCGCACCGUUCCCGGGUAGGCCGCAUGAGGCGCGCGGCGACGCGCGUCCCAGAUGAAUGACUGUCCUCGACAGAACCCGGCUUAACGGCCAACUCUUUUU